Molecule: ribosomal RNA, 579 nt
Filed under: uncultured bacterium
Lineage: Bacteria
Description: partial 16S ribosomal RNA
Rfam family: Bacterial small subunit ribosomal RNA
Source: RNAcentral
UGGGGAAUUUUGGACAAUGGGCGAAAGCCUGAUCCAGCAAUGCCGCGUGUGUGAAGAAGGCCUUCGGGUUGUAAAGCACUUUUGUCCGGAAAGAAAUCCUUGGCUCUAAUACAGUCGGGGGAUGACGGUACCGGAAGAAUAAGCACCGGCUAACUACGUGCCAGCAGCCGCGGUAAUACGUAGGGUGCAAGCGUUAAUCGGAAUUACUGGGCGUAAAGCGUGCGCAGGCGGUUUGCUAAGACCGAUGUGAAAUCCCCGGGCUCAACCUGGGAACUGCAUUGGUGACUGGCAGGCUAGAGUAUGGCAGAGGGGGGUAGAAUUCCACGUGUAGCAGUGAAAUGCGUAGAGAUGUGGAGGAAUACCGAUGGCGAAGGCAGCCCCCUGGGGCCAAAUACUGACGCUCAUGCACGAAAGCGUGGGGGAGCAAACAGGAUUAGAUACCCUGGGUAGUCCACGCCCUAAACGAUGUCAACUAGUUGUUGGGGAUUCAUUUCCUUAGUAACGUAGCUAACGCGUGAAGUUGACCGCCUGGGGAGUACGGUCGCAAGAUUAAAACUCAAAUGAAUUGACGGGGUCAUA